AGCCAUGCUGUGGACAUGAAUUUAUGAGAUCCUUAUAUCGCUCUCAACAUUGGAAGAAGGUCUCAUCCUCUUUCUGCGUAAAACUCAUUAUUUCUUUCCUUAAGCU
This is a small nucleolar RNA of Magnolia sinica, 106 nucleotides long. Lineage: Eukaryota; Viridiplantae; Streptophyta; Magnoliopsida; Magnoliales; Magnoliaceae. The record is from RefSeq and is a predicted model, not a curated record.